UUCUAAUUCAUGACUUAUAGAUGACAGGACCAGCCAGAACCCUUCCCCAGCACCCACCAAGCAGGCUACCCACACACACACACACACACACACACCUGUUCUAAUUACUACACAGGUGAAUGACAGGUGUGAAAUUGGUCAGGUGUUCUAUCUCAUGACUUAUAGAUAACAGGACCAGCCAGAACCCUUCCCCAGCACCCACCAAGCAGGCUACCCACACACACACACACACACACACACACACACACACACACACACCUGCUCUAAUUACUACACAGGUGAAUGACAGGUGUGAAAUUGGUCAGGUGUCCUAUCUCCAGUGACUUAUACCCACACCCACAUAUAUAAAUACCUACACAAUGUCUAUAGCAAUGGUGGAGGAUGAUAUGAUUUAAUUAACUUGCUAUAACAUUCUUCAUCACUUCAUAUGACUCUAAACACACACACACACACACACACACACACACACACACACACAAUUGACCUAUCUUCCAGCCACCCCACUUGACUCUUUUGUAGGAGCAGUGAGUAGCAGGUUUUUUUUUUUAUUAAUUAUAGUUUCCUUUUUUUUGCCCUUGAACUGUUUCCUCGACUGUAGAAAAAAAAAUCAUAACAAACUCGCUAAAAACAGACUGUGGCCUUCCAGAAAAAAAUAAAUAAAUAAAAAAAAUCAUCACACACUCACUAAAAACACACUAUGGCCUUCCUGUUAUCCUAUCCUGUAUUUAUCAUUGAUGCUUAAGUCUCUUCAACUGAAGUUUAAACAGUGAUACCAACACCAUCACAAAACCUUCAGGGGACAGUUGUUACAAGAUGCAUGGCUGACAGAAAGGGGAAGGACAGGCGGGUCAUAAUCUCAUCAUCACUCUUAUUCAGGUCACCAAGUUGGAAAGUUUCGUUUAGUCGGCGCAACAUCUGUGGUCAUAUGCCGGAGAGAGACAGAAGGGGAAGGAAUUAUAGGAGAAGGGAACAGAUCUCAGGAGACGGGACACAACCCCCGAUUAAUACCUGGUACCCAUUCACUGCUGGGUGGACAGGGGCGUAGGGUAUCGGAAAAGCCGCCCAAAUUUUUCCACUCCCCCCAGGAAUCAAACCCGGGCUCUCUCGGUUGAGUUUGGGAGGCGAUUCAUUUUCCUGUCCAUCCAUGACUUAAUAUUUACACAAAACUCCCAAUUGUAUCAACUUUGAAUAACAAGUUCGCUAAUCUCAGUGUUUUGCCUAUUGCCAUUUAUAGUACAGUUCACUAGGUCAUUCAUCUUCCUAUCCAUCCAUGACUUAAUAUAAACAAAACACCCAAUAGUAUCAAAUAUGGAUAACAAGUUUGCAAUGUUACCUCAGUGUUUUGUCUAUUGCCAUUUAUAGUACAGUUCAGCAAGUCAUUCAUCUUCUUAUUCAUGCAACCCUUAAUAUAAACAAAACACCCAAUCGUAUCAAAUUUGAAUAACAAGUUCGCUAAUUUACCUCAGUGUUUUGCCUAUUGUCUAUUGCAGUACAGUUCGGUAGACCAUUCAACCAUCUUCCUAUUCACCCAAGCCUUAAAAGUUACACCAAACACCCGAUAGUAUCAAAUAUGGAUAACAAGUUUACUAUUUCACUAAGUUAUCUAAGUAUCUUGCAACCAGUCUGAGUAUUGUCGUACGUCCUCAAACCGGUGACUAGCGUAAGGCACAGUACUUUCCUUAAGACUAAAUUCCAACCUUCCCUAUGCAUAUGAAAACCCAGUGCCAACCUUCCUUAACCCGGUAGCAGCGACAGCCCAAAUUUGUGGCUUUACCGUGUACCAGUGACAGGCCAAAUUUGUGGCUUUACCGUGUACCAGUGACGGGCCAAAUUUGUGGCUUUACCGUGUACCAGUGACAGGCCAGAUUUUUAGCUGGACAUAAACCCCAAAAAAUAGAGGAUGCAUAAACUGAUCACAAAUACAUUGAUAUAUAUGAUGAUUUGCGUGAGUGAUGAUUUUUUCUCAUGAAUUCACUCAGAGGAGCCUUUAAGAAACAUGAUCCCCGCAGCAGCUACCAGGUUAUCACACAGAGGUAACAAGCAACAGCGCUACUUUUAAAAUGGUAACAACUACUUCUGCUCCCGUGGUGACUAAUACUAUGAUAACUAUUACAACAGGACCUACUACUGCUACCGCACCUAAAUGUUAGGAACGCGUCUUUCCACGAGAUGGGAACACUGAUUGGGAGGCUGGUCACGGGAUGCACCUGUCUGAAGCUUCCCCAGGUGACGGCAACACACACACACACACACACACACACACAACAUCCUCAACACACCACACUGUUUACUCGACUUCCAUGUACACUCAACUUGGUCUUGUGAUGUGAAUUAAAAUGAGUCCAUCACCCUAUUUGUUCCUUAUGCUUAUACACAUUAUAUUAAGUAGUGUAAGUCUUUCAUUAGUCUUUACGACCUUGUCAUUUAUCAGGCUAAGGAGGGUUAUUGCACACACACUCACACACACACUCACACACACAAGGAAUGCUUCAACACCCCAGAGAAGGCCUGAGUACACACACGACGCUUAGGGAAUUCCUGCGACGCCUACCCACGGAAACAAAGUCAGACAAUCCACGCACCCACGGAAUGAGCAACAAAUAAACAAACACACGAACAAAACUCCACUUGCCCACACCACUUCCACGAGCCUGCCGCAAUGAUCUCGGCCACUUGGGGAAUGAGCCGCCUCACACCGCAGACGAAGAACAUCACCCGCCGAGAGAGAACAUUUCCGCCGAAGGGAGUUUGGGUACGGAGAAACGGGAAUUUGAAUAAGUUACAGGAAAUUAGUGGCUUUGUGAAGUCUUAGAGUGUGAAAUGCAC
Molecule: long non-coding RNA, 2826 nt
Organism: Eriocheir sinensis (Chinese mitten crab)
Lineage: Eukaryota; Metazoa; Arthropoda; Malacostraca; Decapoda; Varunidae
Exons: 2
Source: RefSeq, a predicted model, not a curated record